RNAcentral lists this ribosomal RNA (361 nucleotides) under uncultured bacterium. RNAcentral's name for it is "bacterial SSU rRNA". It matches the Rfam family "Bacterial small subunit ribosomal RNA", at positions 328 to 686 of the family's 1533-position model. The record is from RNAcentral.
GCACCAGACUCCUACGGGAGGCAGCAGUGAGGAAUAUUGGUCAAUGGGCGAGAGCCUGAACCAGCCAAGUCGCGUGAGGGAGGACGGCCCUACGGGUUGUAAACCUCUUUUGCCGGGGGACAAACGGCGGCACGCGUGCCGUCCUGAGGGUACCCGGAGAAAAAGCAUCGGCUAACUCCGUGCCAGCAGCCGCGGUAAUACGGAGGAUCCGAGCGUUAUCCGGAUUUAUUGGGUUUAAAGGGAGCGUAGAUGGGUUGUUAAGUCAGUUGUGAAAGUUUGCGGCUCAACCGUAAAAUUGCAAUUGAUACUGGCAGCCUUGAGUACAGUUGAGGUAGGCGGAAUUCGUGGUGUAGCGGUGAAA